Molecule: long non-coding RNA, 1044 nt
Organism: Cyprinus carpio carpio
Lineage: Eukaryota; Metazoa; Chordata; Actinopteri; Cypriniformes; Cyprinidae
Source: Ensembl
CCCGAUGCUGAGGCGGUGCCCGAUGCGGUGCCAGAGACGGUUCCCGAUGUAAUGCCCGAGACCGAGGCUGUUCCGGAGGUCGAGGCGGUGCCCGAUGUUGUUCCAGAGACCGAGGUGGUGCCCGAGUUGCUUCCAGAGACCGAGGCGGUGCCCGAUGCGCAGGCCGAGAUCGUUCCCGAGGCGGUGGCCGAUGCGCAGGCCGAGGUCGUUCCUGAGGUGGUGCCCGAUGCAGAGGUCGUUCCCGAGGCGGUGCCCUUGUCCAAGGCCGUUCCCGAGGCCGUGCCCGAGGCCGUUCCCGAGGCGGGGGCCUUGUCCAAUGCCGUUCCUGAGGCCGUUCCUGAGGCCGUUCCUGAGACCGUUCCCGAGGCGGUGUCCUGGUCCGAUGCCGUUCCUGAGGCCGUUCCUGAGGCCAUUCCAGAGGCGGUGGCCGAUGCUGUUCCGGAGGCCGAUGCGGGGCCCAAGAUGGCUCCGGAGGCGAUACCCGUGUCCAAGGCCGUUCCCGAGGCGGUGUCCUUGUCUGAGGUCGUUCCUGAUGCCGUUCCCAAUGCCGUGACCGGGCCAUCGCCACAGCCUGCUCCUUACUGGCUCCCCGAUUGGCAGGUUCCGUUCGGGCCACUCAAAUGGCGAAUUCCUCCCUGGCCGUCUGCACAACGAGAAUGGACUGAUCCACCGUGGCCACCUGAACUGCCUGGUCCCUCGUGGUCCCCUGAACUUUCGGGUCCACCGUGGCCACCUGAACUGCCUGGUCCCUCGUGGUCCCCUGAACUUUCGGGUCCACCGUGGCCACCUGAACUGCCUGGUCCCUCGUGGUCCCCUGAACUUUCGGGUCCACCGUGGCCCCCUGAACUGCCUGGUCCCUCGUGGUCCCCUGAACUUUCGGGUCCACCAUGGCCCCCUGAUCUGACCAAGCCACCUGGGCUACCAGGGGAGCCAUCGCUGCCGGUCCCAGUUCCCCUACACGGGCCUGGCCCGCCAUCCCUCCCCCUGUUCUGCCUCCACCAGUCCACCUCCCUCCUGGUCUCUUUGUUUUGUGUUUAUUUGGUU